Molecule: transfer RNA, 73 nt
Filed under: Candidatus Vidania fulgoroideorum
Lineage: Bacteria; Pseudomonadati; Pseudomonadota; Betaproteobacteria
Description: beta proteobacterium endosymbiont of Hyalesthes obsoletus HO1-V tRNA
Rfam family: tRNA
About the family: Transfer RNA (tRNA) molecules are approximately 80 nucleotides in length. Their secondary structure includes four short double-helical elements and three loops (D, anti-codon, and T loops). Further hydrogen bonds mediate the characteristic L-shaped molecular structure. tRNAs have two regions of fundamental functional importance: the anti-codon, which is responsible for specific mRNA codon recognition, and the 3' end, to which the tRNAs corresponding amino acid is attached (by aminoacyl-tRNA synthetases). tRNAs cope with the degeneracy of the genetic code in two manners: having more than one tRNA (with a specific anti-codon) for a particular amino acid; and 'wobble' base-pairing, i.e. permitting non-standard base-pairing at the 3rd anti-codon position.
Source: Rfam by way of RNAcentral
AGGUUGUUAGCUCAGUUGGUAGAGCAACGGACUUUUAAUCCGUGUGUCGCGUGUUCAAAUCAUGUACAUCCUA